GGAGGGUGCAAGCGUUAAUCGGAAUUACUGGGCGUAAAGCGUACGUAGGCGGCGUGUUAAGCAAGAUGUGAAAGCCCCGGGCUCAACCUGGGAAUUGCAUUUUGAACUGGCAUGCUAGAGUCCUGAAGAGGGUGGUAGAAUUUCCAGUGUAGCGGUGAAAUGCGUAGAUAUUGGAAGGAAUACCGGUGGCGAAGGCGGCCACCUGGUCAGAGACUGACGCUGAGGUACGAAAGCGUGGGGAGCAAACAGGAUUAGAUACCCUGGUAGUCCACGCCGUAAACGAUGUCAACUAGUUGUUCGUGUCAUUAAGACGUGAGUAACGCAGCUAACGCACUAAGUUGACCGCCUGGGGAGUACGGCCGCAAGGUUAAAACUCAAAUGAAUUGACGGGGGCCCGCACAAGCGGUGGAGCAUGUGGUUUAAUUCGAUGCAACGCGAAGAACCUUACCAUCCCUUGACAUCCAGUGAAUUUUUCAGAGAUGAAUUAGUGCCUUCGGGAACACUGAGACAGGUGCUGCAUGGCUGUCGUCAGCUCGUGUUGUGAGAUGUUGGGUUAAGUCCCGCAACGAGCGCAACCCUUAUCCUUAGUUGCCAGCACGUAAUGGUGGGAACUCUGGGGAGACUGCCGGUGAUAAACCGGAGGAAGGUGGGGGACGACGUCAAGUCAUCAUGGCCCUUACGGGAUGGGCUACACACGUGCUACAAUGGCGCAUACAAAGGGCAGCAAGCCAGCGAUGGUUAGCGAAUCUCAUAAAGUGCGUCGUAGUCCGGAUCGAAGUCUGCAACUCGACUCCGUGAAGUCGGAAUCGCUAGUAAUCGUGGAUCAGAAUGCCACGGUGAAUACGUUCCCGGGCCUUGUACACACCGCCCGU
Molecule: ribosomal RNA, 872 nt
Filed under: uncultured Idiomarinaceae bacterium
Lineage: Bacteria; Pseudomonadati; Pseudomonadota; Gammaproteobacteria; Alteromonadales; Idiomarinaceae
Description: bacterial SSU rRNA
Rfam family: Bacterial small subunit ribosomal RNA
Source: RNAcentral